AGAGUUUGAUCCUGGCUCAGAACGAACGCUGGCGGCAGGCUUAACACAUGCAAGUCGAACGCUCGUCUUCGGACGGGAGUGGCAGACGGGUGAGUAACGCGUGGGAACGUACCCUUCAGUUCGGAAUAACCCAGGGAAACUUGGGCUAAUACCGGAUACGUCCGUAAGGAGAAAGAUUGAUCGCUGAAGGAUCGGCCCGCGUCGGAUUAGCUAGUUGGUGAGGUAACGGCUCACCAAGGCAACGAUCCGUAGCUGGUCUGAGAGGAUGAUCAGCCACACUGGGACUGAGACACGGCCCAGACUCCUACGGGAGGCAGCAGUGGGGAAUAUUGGUCAAUGGGCGCAAGCCUGAACCAGCCAUGCCGCGUGAGUGAAGAAGGCCUUAGGGUUGUAAAGCUCUUUCAGCGGGGACGAUAAUGACGGUACCCGCAGAAGAAGCCCCGGCUAACUUCGUGCCAGCAGCCGCGGUAAUACGAAGGGGGCUAGCGUUGUUCGGAAUUACUGGGCGUAAAGCGCGCGUAGGCGGGCAUUUAAGUCAGGGGUGAAAUCCCAGGGCUCAACCCUGGAACUGCCUUUGAUACUGGAUGCCUGGAGUUCGGGAGAGGUGAGUGGAAUUCCGAGUGUAGAGGUGAAAUUCGUAGAUAUUCGGAGGAACACCAGAAGCGAAGGCGGCUCACUGGCCCGAUACUGACGCUGAGGCGCGAAAGCGUGGGGAGCAAACAGGAUUAGAUACCCUAGUAGUCC
RNAcentral lists this ribosomal RNA (744 nucleotides) under uncultured bacterium. RNAcentral's name for it is "bacterial SSU rRNA". It matches the Rfam family "Bacterial small subunit ribosomal RNA", at positions 8 to 796 of the family's 1533-position model. The record is from RNAcentral.